GGGAUAACUAUUGGAAACGAUAGCUAAUACCGCAUAAGAGAGACUAACGCAUGUUAGUAAUUUAAAAGGGGCAAUUGCUCCACUAUGAGAUGGACCUGCGUUGUAUUAGCUAGUUGGUGAGGUAAAGGCUCACCAAGGCGACGAUACAUAGCCGACCUGAGAGGGUGAUCGGCCACACUGGGACUGAGACACGGUCCAG
This 199-nucleotide ribosomal RNA is filed under the name uncultured Streptococcaceae bacterium. RNAcentral's name for it is "partial 16S ribosomal RNA". It matches the Rfam family "Bacterial small subunit ribosomal RNA", at positions 140 to 334 of the family's 1533-position model. Lineage: Bacteria; Bacillati; Bacillota; Bacilli; Lactobacillales; Streptococcaceae. The record is from RNAcentral.